CCUACGGGGGGCUGCAGUGGGGAAUAUUGGACAAUGGGGGGAACACUGAUCCAGCCAUGCCGCGUGUGUGAAGAAGGCCCUCGGGUUGUAAAGCACUUUCAGUGAGGAAGAACGCCUGGUGGUUAAUACCCAUCAGGAAAGACAUCACUCACAGAAGAAGCACCGGCAAACUCCGUGCCAGCAGCCGCGGUAAUACGGAGGGUGCGAGCGUUAAUCGGAAUUACUGGGCGUAAAGCGCGCGUAGGUGGCUUGAUAAGCCGGUUGUGAAAGCCCCGGGCUCAACCUGGGAACGGCAUCCGGAACUGUCAAGCUAGAGUGCAGGAGAGGAAGGUAGAAUUCCCGGUGUAGCGGUGAAAUGCGUAGAGAUCGGGAGGAAUACCAGUGGCGAAGGCGGCCUUCUGGACUGACACUGACACUGAGGUGCGAAAGCGUGGGUAGCAAACAGGAUUAGAUACCCUAGUAGUC
RNAcentral lists this ribosomal RNA (465 nucleotides) under Vreelandella stevensii. RNAcentral's name for it is "partial 16S ribosomal RNA". It matches the Rfam family "Bacterial small subunit ribosomal RNA", at positions 338 to 795 of the family's 1533-position model. Lineage: Bacteria; Pseudomonadati; Pseudomonadota; Gammaproteobacteria; Oceanospirillales; Halomonadaceae. The record is from RNAcentral.